This 155-nucleotide ribosomal RNA is filed under the name uncultured bacterium. RNAcentral describes it as "partial 16S ribosomal RNA". It matches the Rfam family "Bacterial small subunit ribosomal RNA", at positions 379 to 525 of the family's 1533-position model. The record is from RNAcentral.
AACCCUGACGCAGCGACGCCGCGUGGGUGAAGAAGGCCUUCGGGUUGUAAAGCCCUGUCAGGUGGGAAGAAGUGUGCCAUGGCUAAUAUCCAUGACAUUUGACGGUACCACCAAAGGAAGCACCGGCUAACUCCGUGCCAGCAGCCGCGGUAAUA